AGCGCUACUGUGUGACAACGGGGGUCAAAUGAAACAGAGGUCUGAGCCAGCACUUACGCAGGACUUACUUUUAUUAGAAAAAGAAGUCAAAAGGACCUCGCCAUCCUGCACAGACAAAACAAGAUAUCUCCCUCUCCAAGCCUACAUUCGCGCAUAUCUGCGCUGAAUACUGAACUUCGUUCCCUGGACCUGCACAAAUUCGACCUGGCACUAUGUCGUCUGCAACUCCAGACAUACUGGCUUGCCAAUAAGCCGGGGAAAGUUUUAGCUAGGCAAAUUAAGGAAACAUGGGGAAAAAGAAGAAACAUAGAACAUGAGGCCCAGAGCAUCUCCAGAUCCAAUAAAUAGAAAAGUAAGGACAUCUUGUGAUUCCAUACAGGCUCCAUGCACAUUGUUGUCUUGUUCACACUGAGUCAUAAACGGCAUGA
Hyla sarda is the source of this 428-nucleotide long non-coding RNA. RefSeq lists it as uncharacterized. The transcript has 3 exons. Lineage: Eukaryota; Metazoa; Chordata; Amphibia; Anura; Hylidae. The record is from RefSeq and is a predicted model, not a curated record.